Non-coding RNA from Vicia faba (fava bean), 246 nucleotides. NCBI's taxonomy places the organism in Eukaryota, Viridiplantae, Streptophyta, Magnoliopsida, Fabales, Fabaceae. The record is from the annotation of a GenBank genome assembly.
AUGGUGGUCGGGUGGGUUGCGACAAGUGCGGUCGGAUAUCUGUCGGGAUCUGUGGUGUGGCGGUGUUGGGAGAUUGGCGGAGGGAGUUUAGUAAAGAGUUACGAUCAUCAGAGGGAGACAAAGAUCGCUGGGAUCAGAGUGCGUGGUUGCUUUGAUCUGUGGGAUGCGGCGGAGAAGCUUCAGACGCGGGUUUGGCGAUGGUUGCAGGAGAUUGGAGUUCGGUAUUUAGAUGAUGAUAAUGAGUGA